Non-coding RNA from Triticum aestivum (bread wheat), 135 nucleotides. NCBI's taxonomy places the organism in Eukaryota, Viridiplantae, Streptophyta, Magnoliopsida, Poales, Poaceae. The record is from Rfam.
UUACUACUCCCUUCGUCUCAAAAUUCUUGUCUUAGAUUUGUCCAGACAUGGAUGUAUCUAAAACUAAAACGUAACUAGAUACAUCCGCAUUUAGACAAAUUUAAGACAAGAAUUUUGGGAGGGAGGGAGUACUCU